This 121-nucleotide microRNA precursor is filed under the name Gossypium hirsutum (cotton). RNAcentral describes it as "MIR7502 microRNA precursor family". It matches the Rfam family "MIR7502 microRNA precursor family". The record is from Rfam by way of RNAcentral. Lineage: Eukaryota; Viridiplantae; Streptophyta; Magnoliopsida; Malvales; Malvaceae.
UGCUAAAAAUUUUAUUAAUUUCUAUCGUUAAAACUGACAUGUCUGAAAAAAUAACCAAAUAAUAGUAUUGGCAUGCCACAGGAAUCAAUUUUAACAAUAGAAAUGGAUAAUUUUUUUAACA